Molecule: ribosomal RNA, 429 nt
Filed under: Chloroflexota bacterium
Lineage: Bacteria; Bacillati; Chloroflexota
Description: Chloroflexi bacterium partial 16S ribosomal RNA
Rfam family: Bacterial small subunit ribosomal RNA
Source: RNAcentral
UGGGGAAUAUUGCACAAUGGGCGCAAGCCUGAUGCAGCCAUGCCGCGUGUAUGAAGAAGGCCUUCGGGUUGUAAAGUACUUUCAGCGGGGAGGAAGGGAGUAAAGUUAAUACCUUUGCUCAUUGACGUUACCCGCAGAAGAAGCACCGGCUAACUCCGUGCCAGCAGCCGCGGUAAUACGGAGGGUGCAAGCGUUAAUCGGAAUUACUGGGCGUAAAGCGCACGCAGGCGGUUUGUUAAGUCAGAUGUGAAAUCCCCGGGCUCAACCUGGGAUCUGCAUCUGAUACUGGCAAGCUUGAGUCUCGGAGAGGGGGGUAGAAUUCCAGGUGUAGCGGUGAAAUGCGUAGAGAUCUGGAGGAAUACCGAUGGCGAAGGCGACCCCCUGGACGAAGACUGACGCUCAGGUGCGAAAGCGUGGGGAGCAAACAGG